UGACCAAGGGGUCGGGACGUUCUGACUGUUUCAGGGUCGGAGUGACCUACGGGCACAUGGAGUGUCUGCGCAAGGGCCGGGUCAGGUAAUAA
RNAcentral lists this non-coding RNA (92 nucleotides) under Pseudomonas mandelii JR-1. Its description in RNAcentral is "ivy-DE RNA". It matches the Rfam family "ivy-DE RNA". The record is from RNAcentral. Lineage: Bacteria; Pseudomonadati; Pseudomonadota; Gammaproteobacteria; Pseudomonadales; Pseudomonadaceae.